This 122-nucleotide ribosomal RNA is filed under the name uncultured Lachnospiraceae bacterium. RNAcentral describes it as "partial 16S ribosomal RNA". It matches the Rfam family "Bacterial small subunit ribosomal RNA", at positions 335 to 456 of the family's 1533-position model. The record is from RNAcentral. Lineage: Bacteria; Bacillati; Bacillota; Clostridia; Lachnospirales; Lachnospiraceae.
ACUCCUACGGGAGGCAGCAGUGGGGAAUAUUGCACAAUGGGGGAAACUCUGAUGCAGCGACGCCGCGUGCAGGAAGAAGUAUUUCGGUAUGUAAAGCUCUAUCAACAGGGAAGAAAUGACGG